AGGAGAUGGAUAAGAGAAAUGGAAAAUGGCAAAAUUAAAGUGCAUUAAAUGAAGUAACAUGUACCAAUCCCCAUAUGUUGACCAAUGGCAUUGAAAGUCAAGGUCAAACAAUCAAAAACAGAAGUGAGAUGAAGAUUGGAAGUCAAGAAAUGAACAAAAUAUUUUUUGGCAUUUUUUAAUAUUUAAAAUUAAAGUUGAAUUGAAAAUAAAAGAAAGGUCAAACUUCAAAAUCAC
This 234-nucleotide long non-coding RNA is filed under the name Lathyrus oleraceus (garden pea). Its description in RNAcentral is "Pisum sativum (pea) long non-coding RNA (PSAT_LNC035792)". The record is from RNAcentral. Lineage: Eukaryota; Viridiplantae; Streptophyta; Magnoliopsida; Fabales; Fabaceae.